This 253-nucleotide ribosomal RNA is filed under the name uncultured bacterium. Its description in RNAcentral is "partial 16S ribosomal RNA". It matches the Rfam family "Bacterial small subunit ribosomal RNA", at positions 524 to 776 of the family's 1533-position model. The record is from RNAcentral.
UACGUAGGGCGCGAGCGUUGUCCGGAAUUAUUGGGCGUAAAGAGCUCGUAGGCGGCUUGUUGCGUCUGCUGUGAAAUCCCGGGGCUUAACCCCGGGCGUGCAGUGGAUACGGGCAGGCUGGAGGCAGGCAGGGGAGAAUGGAAUUCCCGGUGUAGCGGUGAAAUGCGCAGAUAUCGGGAGGAACACCGGUGGCGAAGGCGGUUCUCUGGGUCUCUUCUGACGCUGAGGCACGAAAGCUAGGGUAGCGAACGGG